AACGAUUUUGAUCUCUGAUCUGAAUCAAGCGAUUGCAGCAUCACCCCUACUUCAACAACCCAGCCCUUUCCAAGGUAAAGUAGUAGGUCAUGAUCGGUGGAGUGAAUGAUCAACCAGUGUGUAAGUGCGCUGUUAUUUUCACACCCACCAUCUCCUGAUCCUUUUGAUGAACCAAUAGAACUGCCCAUUUUUUUUUGGGUACUAUUGCAGAAUGUUCAAUUACUACAGCAUUAUCUGGAAAUAGUUUUUCCAACAUCCUUGAGAAAGGAAGGCAGGGUGAUCUUCAAUCCAAAAAAAAAGAAAAGAAAAAAGAAUUAAAGAAGCCAUGUUAUAGAUUGUUGUAAGCAGUGUUCAGUUGUCAAAGCAAAGCUUGGAGACUGAUCUAUCACAAACUUCAAACUAUAGAGAGAUCCCUCUAUUACUCACACAUACCACUUGAGGAAGCAAGGGCCCUUCUUGAAUGGUUAGAAUAUCAAAGAGACAACGUUGAAGGUGCCCUUCUGGUUUUGAUGGCAUUCAUCUACAAGCAACAACAGAAAGAUUACAGCCAUCAUUUCCUUUCUUCUGAAUCAUUUUGUUAUUCAUACUUGAUAUAUAUAUUAUACAUGAUUAUGUAAAUUUCAGUAUAUUAAUUUUAAAAACAAAAAUAUUUAUAUUCAACAGCAA
This is a long non-coding RNA of Hevea brasiliensis (rubber tree), 666 nucleotides long. RefSeq lists it as uncharacterized. NCBI's taxonomy places the organism in Eukaryota, Viridiplantae, Streptophyta, Magnoliopsida, Malpighiales, Euphorbiaceae. The record is from RefSeq and is a predicted model, not a curated record. The transcript is spliced from 6 exons.